This 371-nucleotide ribosomal RNA is filed under the name uncultured organism. RNAcentral's name for it is "partial 16S ribosomal RNA". It matches the Rfam family "Bacterial small subunit ribosomal RNA", at positions 527 to 896 of the family's 1533-position model. The record is from RNAcentral.
GUAGGUGGCAAGCGUUGUCCGGAAUUAUUGGGCGUAAAGCGCGCGCAGGCGGUUCUUUAAGUCUGAUGUGAAAGCCCACGGCUCAACCGUGGAGGGUCAUUGGAAACUGGAGAACUUGAGUACAGAAGAGGAAAGCGGAAUUCCACGUGUAGCGGUGAAAUGCGUAGAGAUGUGGAGGAACAGCAGUGGCGAAGGCGGCUUUCUGGUCUGUAACUGACGCUGAGGCGCGAAAGCGUGGGGGAGCAAACAGGAUUAGAUACCCUGGUAGUCCACGCCGUAAACGAUGAGUGCUAAGUGUUAGGGGGUUUCCGCCCCUUAGUGCUGCAGCUAACGCAUUAAGCACUCCGCCUGGGAGUACGGCCGCAAGGCUG